Molecule: ribosomal RNA, 301 nt
Filed under: uncultured bacterium
Lineage: Bacteria
Description: partial 16S ribosomal RNA
Rfam family: Bacterial small subunit ribosomal RNA
Source: RNAcentral
CAGCCGCCGCGGUAACACGUAGGUCCCGAGCGUUGUCCGGAUUUAUUGGGCGUAAAGCGAGCGCAGGCGGUUAGAUAAGUCUGAAGUUAAAGGCUGUGGCUUAACCAUAGUACGCUUUGGAAACUGUUUAACUUGAGUGCAAGAGGGGAGAGUGGAAUUCCAUGUGUAGCGGUGAAAUGCGUAGAUAUAUGGAGGAACACCGGUGGCGAAAGCGGCUCUCUGGCUUGUAACUGACGCUGAGGCUCGGAAGCGUGGGGAGCAAACAGGAUUAGAUACCCCUGUAGUCCCUGUCUCUUAUACA